CUGCCCCUGCGAUGUACGCCAAGAAGGCAAGGAUUUGAAAGAACCGAUACCCGUACUGAGGGGAAUCCUGCCUUGAUGUGCUGCGAAUGCCUGGAGAUCAGGAAUCAAGGCCUCAAGUAAGGAUUGCCCACCUGGAAGUAAUGGGUUCUCUUCAGCGACGCCUUCUAGCGGCAAUCGUGGAGGUUAG
RNAcentral lists this non-coding RNA (187 nucleotides) under Phycisphaerales bacterium. Its description in RNAcentral is "6S RNA". It matches the Rfam family "6S / SsrS RNA". Rfam says of the family: E. coli 6S RNA was the first non coding RNA to be sequenced, but its function was unknown until recently. It consists of 184 nucleotides that fold into an extended hairpin structure with a large single-stranded internal bulge. The 6S RNA specifically associates with RNA polymerase holoenzyme containing the sigma70 specificity factor. The record is from RNAcentral. Lineage: Bacteria; Pseudomonadati; Planctomycetota; Phycisphaerae; Phycisphaerales.